Molecule: ribosomal RNA, 299 nt
Filed under: uncultured Cyanobacterium sp.
Lineage: Bacteria; Bacillati; Cyanobacteriota; Cyanophyceae; Chroococcales; Geminocystaceae
Description: partial 16S ribosomal RNA
Rfam family: Bacterial small subunit ribosomal RNA
Source: RNAcentral
GGAGACCGCCGGGGAGAACUCGGAGGAAGGUGGGGAUGACGUCAAGUCAGCAUGCCCCUUACGUCUUGGGCUACACACGUACUACAAUGGUUGGGACAAAGGGGAGCGAAACCGCGAGGUGGAGCGAAUCUCAUCAAACCCAGCCACAGUUCAGAUUGCAGGCUGAAACUCGCCUGCAUGAAGGAGGAAUCGCUAGUAAUCGCAGGUCAGCAUACUGCGGUGAAUCCGUUCCCGGGUCUUGUACACACCGCCCGUCACACCAUGGAAGUUGGUCACGCCCGAUCCCUUUACUCUAUCAA